Molecule: long non-coding RNA, 10077 nt
Filed under: Lathyrus oleraceus (garden pea)
Lineage: Eukaryota; Viridiplantae; Streptophyta; Magnoliopsida; Fabales; Fabaceae
Description: Pisum sativum (pea) long non-coding RNA (PSAT_LNC003188)
Source: RNAcentral
UGCACAAAAGCUUAAGAAUCUACUUUGUAAUUACUAGCAUGAAAAUCCAUUAAUCUCCAAAAGUAACAAAGACAUAUAAAGUGUGACUAAUAUAUCUGCAUAUACUAACAUAUACACAGAAUUGUCACAUGUACAACAACUUAUUCAAUUCAAAUUCCACCUUAUUUCUCCUAAAAACUUCCAUGGUUGAAGCUCAACGGAACUUCAAAAGGAUUAAUAUCAUAAGGCCUUUGUCCAUUAUAAUUACCAGGUGGAUCAUAGUUACAACUAAUAAUGGUGCUACGACCAUUAUUACACUUUACCUUAGCACAUCCAACCCGAACCGAAUUGCGCCAAACAACCUGAGUAUAGUGUCCACACUGAUAACCAGCAGCACAUGAGUUACUGUUGUAAUUAUAGUAUCGCUUCUCUCCGAUCCACAUGUUAACAGCACCUGUUCCUGUUAUGUCACCACUGCCCCAUGCUAGGUUCUCACCAUAUGGACCCCUUGAGUGUACCAUUUGGCAAUUUGCUUUUAAUUUGUUUAUAUAGUUUUGUGCAUAGGAGGCAAGUUUUGUGUCCCAAUUUAUAGGGCCAACACCAACUUCAGAACGUGCUUUGUUGUGAAUGUUGACGUAGUCUUGUGGUGAGUUUUGAGCAUAUGAGAUUUGUGUUGAUGUGGAUAGUACUAGGAUAGCCAUGAGGGGAAGGAGAAGUGAGCUCAUUGGCACUACCAUGUCUAGAGAAGUUUGGUUUUGAUGGAUGUUGUUUGGUAACUCAUUAGAGACCCUAUUUAUAUACAAUAAAAUUUCAAAAGUAUCACUUAUAAACAUAUAUUUAUAUCUUAUCUUAUAUAUAUUAAAAUAUUGAUUAUAAUACUCUAUUGGUUUCUGUAAGUUAAGAAAUUUUUUAAUUUGAUUACUGUAAUUUUUUUGUCUGAGUCCUUAUAUCUGAUUUUUUGUGUUGAUUUUAAUCUUUAAAAUCGAAAUCUGCAUGUUUCCUACAAAUAAUUAGAAACUAAAAUCAACACAAAAAUGAGAUAACAUAUACUUAGAAUUAAAAAGUAUUUAAACCUGCAUGAUUUUAAUGUGGCGGCUAAGUAUAGAAGUAGGAUAGGAUUAUAUGAUAGGAGAGGGGGAUUAAAUUAUACCAUAAUAGUCUAAUAAAUAGAUAUAAUAUACACUCAAUUAUUUAGAUAUAAUAUACACUCAAUUGGGAAAUAUAUCAAUUAUUUAGACAUAAUAUACAUUCAAUUGGAAAAUACAUCAAUUAUUUAGAUAUAAUAUACACAACUUGCAAGAGCCAUCGCAUCUCAUUAUCACUUUAGGUAAAACAACAUCUUGCUGAAUUAUUUAUUUGAAGAGUAGACUUAUCGAUUUUUUUUUGUGUGGGUUGAUUUUCAAAAAGUAAUUUGAUUGUAGUCGAAGAGAAAAGUUUGAUACAAUCUAGAUAAAUAUUAUUCGAGUGACUGUAAACUUCAAAAGAAUUUAAGAUGCAGCAAGGGAAUUGUCAGAGAAUAAAGUUUUCAUUUAUAUUCAAUAUCCUUCAAAAUUGUUCUCAUUUAUAUAAAAGAUAAAACUUCCUAACAACUUUGAAAUCGGGGAUUAAGUAACUGUUGUAAAAAUUGGUAAACAAUAGUUGGUUUUCCAAAUCAAAGAUACUUUAAUUACUCACAGAAUCAAUCAGAUUGAUCAUAUGAUAUGUACUGUUGUUAAAAUUAUAUCUAAAAAAUAAUGAACACUUCGACAACACUCAUGUUUGAAGAUUCUUUGUUUAAAAAAGUUUUAAAGAGAUAAAUUGCAUAAUGUAAAGGAAAAUAUAAUAAAGAUGCUUGAAAAUAACUUGCAAUGGAAGAUAAAUUCUGGAAAAAAAUAUAAAUAAAUUUUAAUUGAAAUGUAGAAAAUGGUGUUAUCAAAUGUACCUUCUCAAUGACACUCUUUUCUCAAUACACUAGAUACUUUGAGUAAUUUUAAGUAUUUGUACAUCAAUUGAACACCCAAAAAUCCUAACAAUAAGACCCUUAUAUAUACUAAGUCGAAAUAACCACUACCAACGACUUUUCUCUCAGGCAAUGACACGUUGCACUCGGCGUGUCUUCAAUCCAUUAUAACGUUUCACACGUCUUUUCUCAAAACUGGAUGAGGACUAAAUACAAUUAUCCAUCAUUUAUUCAAAUUCAAACAUCUGUGUCGAACUCAACUUUAAUGUUGCCUCAGUCGAAUUACCAUUCUAAACUUAUAAGUAUAUCUAAACCUCAUACAACAAUUUCCUCUUACACAAGGAUCACUUCGACUGGAUUUCUCAAACAAUAUUUGUAUGUCAAAGUCCAUGACAUCUUCAAAGAUAUUUUUCUUUCGCUCAUUGAAUCAUGUUUGACGUCGAAACUUCCAGUUAACCAAUUGCCCUCUAAAAAAUAUCUUUUUCGACGUAACAAAGAAAAUGACAUUUUUUGAAAAUUCAAUUCAACGUCACAAACUGUUCACCUGCUAUGACGUCAUUGCUAUGAUGACAACUUUUACAAAAUGUCUCUUCAAAACACACGUGACGUGAGAAUCUUUAUGCAAUCAUCACUCCUCCUAGCCCCUAUGAGAUCGUGGCUAGCCUUUAACUGCCACCGUUCAUCAUGGUCACUCCAACUGACACACGUCCCACUUUCUUUUCAACCAUUAAUGCUUAAUAAAAACCGCUUCCACUUCAGCAGCUUAUAAAUAUGCAUAUUCAUCACUUUUCCAACCUUUUCUCAUUCUGAACUUCCUCAAAAACAAUUUCUUCCACUCUUCAUCUUCCUUAAACAAAAAUCCAUUUUGCUUCUUCUUUCAAUCUCUCUGCAACAAUGGUAUCAUCCGCAAAAACUACCAAAGAAUUAACACAGAACACAAAAGAUUUUAAGAAAUCACCAGGUCUUCCUCUUGCUGACAUGAUAUUAGGCCCAAACACUGUGGGUAAUCAACAAUAUGUACCUGAGCCUCUUACUAAAGAAUAAAGAAGAAUUUUCUAGUCACAGGUAUUGAUCCCUAUCUAUAUUUCUAGCAAAACUCAUACUAUGUUAGGACCAUUAUCAAAUCCAAAUGUUGAUCAUAAUAAGCUCAAAGAGUUCUUCUCAACCUACCAUAGGUACAAACCCAUAGCAUGUGCUAAAAAACCUAAGAUUAGCGAUGAAAUCCAUACUGAGGAAAACCCUAACCCAGAUAACCAAGACAACCCUUCGACGGACGAACCCAUUAAUCUAACAUACAUGAAUAAUGAUUUUAAGGUCUUUCGAUCUUGCCCUUUAUCUAGGGAUCCAUCUGAUUAUCUAGGCUGGUCAGAGAAAAUAGAAAAAAAAUAAUCUCAAGUUUGGAAAGAAAUGGGUAUAUUUGACUGAUUCAAACUAUUUAAAAUCCAAACUAUUUAAAAUAUGAAUGGCUUAUAUGCAAUUACUGUUGCACUAAAAACUAGUUAAAUUGUUAAGAAUUGAAUAAGAUACUGUCUGGUUUAGUUUUGUUUGGUUUCCUUUAUAUGCAUUAGUUAUCUGUCCAAAUUAAACAGGCAUGCACAAAAGCUUAAGAAUCAUGAAAAUCCAUUAAUCUCCAAAAGUAAAAAACAUAUAGUGUGACUAAUCUAUCUGCAUAUACCAACAUAUAUACAGAAUUGUCACAUGUCGAGAAAAGUUUGGUUUUCAUGGAUGUUGUUCGGUAACUCAUUAGAGACACUAUAAAACCUAUUUAUAUACAACAAAAUUUCAAAGUAUCGCUUAUAAACUUAUCUUUGUACCUUAUUUUAUAUAUUAAAAGAUUUUAAGUUAAAGUGGUAUUACCAAGUGGAUAUUUAUCUAAUGUGGCGGCUAAGUAUAGAAGUAGGUAGGAUUAUAUGGCAGAAGAGUCUGCUAAGGGAUUAAAUUAUAUCAUAAUAGUCUAAUAAAUAGAUAUAAUAUACACUCAAUUAUUUAGAUAUAAUAUACACUCAAUUGGGAAAUUCAUCAAUUAUUUAGAUAUAAUAUACACUCAAUUGGGAAAUUCAUCAAUUAUUUAGAUAUAAUAUACACUCAAUUGAGAAAUACAUCAAUUAUUGGUGGCGUGUAGGACACAACUUGCAAGAGCCAUCGCAUCUCAUAAUAAUUUUAUUUUAUUAUUGAUAUUUGGUUUAUUGGACCGAUUAAUUCAGAUCGGGGUCAGUUCUGACAUCAAGUGAUUUCUAUUAGUAUGUGAGAUAUUUUAAUAAGGAAAGAAAGAUAGAAUGAAAAAUAAAGAUGGUUACUAUUGAAUGUGUUAUAUUAAAAAUUAAAUUAUAAAUAAAUAAAUAAAUAAAUAAAUAAAUAAAUUAAAUAUAUAUAUAUAUAUAUAUAUAUAAUAUAUAUUAUAUAUAAUAUAUAUAUUAUAUAUAUUAUAUAUAUAUAUAUAUAUAUAUAUAUUAUAUAUAUAUAUAUAUAUAUAUAUACACAACACUGUAUACCAAAGUAAUUAACAUAAUAAACUUUAACUCUCUAAUCAACUUGGACUUGGAUUAUACUCUCAACAUACCCCCUUAUAAUCAAAGUUAUUAAACACUGGCUAAUCAUAAUUCAUUUGAACUAUUUUAUAAUCGGUGAAAAUAUGGUUAACUAUGCUUCACUUAGAUGUGAAAUUAACAUUUUUGAAUGGCCCUCUAGAUGAAGAAGUGUAUGUCCCACAACCUCGUGGGUACUGGUGCAUAUACUUCACCUAGAUGUGAAAUUAACGUUUUUGACUGGUGCAUAUACUUCAGAGUAGUCAAGUCUUGCUCUCUGAAUAAUUUGAGCAACUAAUCUUUCCUUAUGUCUUGCUAUCGACCCAACAACAUUAUACUUCAACUUGAACAUUCACUUUACUUUGAUAGCUUUUGUAUGUGUUGGCAAUUCGACUAACUCCCAUGUAUUUUAUUUCUUUCGAUCGCUUAUAACUAUUUGACCAUAAAUGACUUCCAUUAUUUAUUCUUUAAAGCCCCACUAUAGUUGAUUGGUUCAACACCUGCAAGUGAAGCAAAAUGAACUAAUUUUCCAUUUGUUCUGACUCCAUCAACACCAACCACUUCAUAGUCUUGAAGCCUUGGUGGGAAAACUCUAGUUAUUUGAGUUCUUUCGCUUGUACUAGCCACACCCUCUUUAAUUUUGAUGGUGUCUGGAAUAUCAACAACUACUUGUACUUCGACUUCAUCAGUUUCUUGGUCGAUGUCAUAGCUCAUCAAAGACUUGUUAAUUGCAUCACCAUAAUUCCAAUCCCAGGCAAAAUUUUCAUUAAUCAUGAUAUCUUGACUCUUUACGAAAUUCUCAUUGAUUGGAUUGAAUAGACAGUUUAAUGAUAUCCUACUAGAAUCAUAGGUUCACUUUUAUCAUCAAGUUCCCUUCUUCCUCCAUUAGGAACAUGCUUGUAGCAAAUAGAGCGAAACAUCUUCGGAUGACUCACCGAUGGUAGUUUGCACUCCACACUUCUUCAUGAACCUUGUUCUUCUGCUUCUUGGUACGACAACUGUUUAUAAUAUAAACAAAAAUGGUGACAACUUCACCCCAUAAGGAUUUUGGGAAAUACUCUUGUUUUUGCAUGCAUCUCGCCAUAUCCAAUAUGGUCCUAUUUAUUCUUUAUGUUAUUCCAUUAUGUUGCAGCGUGUAAAGAGCAAUUACCUCAUGAUCAAUAUUGCGUUCUACACAGAACUCUUCAAAUAUCUUAGAUGUGUAUUCUGCGCCUCCAUCUGUUUGCAGAAUCUUGAUCUUCUUUUCACUCUGGUUUUCGACAAGCAUUUUGAACUUCUUAAGGAUUGAAAACAAAUUGUCUUUGCGCCUGAUCACAUAGAUCCAAAGCUUUCGACUGCACUCGUGGAUAAAUGAGACAAAAUACAUGUUUUCACCAAUGGUAUGAUCCUCGAACGGGCCACAUACAUCUGAAUGUACUACUUCUAGUAUGCAAGAGGACCUCAUUGGCAUAUUCGAAACAAAAGACUUUCUGGAUUGCUUCCCUACUAAGCAACCUUCAUAGAGUUUAUCGAGCAUCUCAAGACUUGAUAUACAUGUUACCAUCUCUUGAGUAAUUAGUUGAUUGAAUGACAUAAAUUCAUAUAUCCAAAUAUUAAAUUCCACAACCAACUGUUCUUGUGGUGGACAACUGUUUUGAGGCACUGUACCUCUGUCGAACUGAUCAUGGUCUUAAGUGUCACAUUCUUUGACAUAGAAGAUUUUAAGACUAAACUAUUCUGGGUGUCGAACUGUUCCAAGACUCCAUCUUUCUUAACCACUGAGAAACCUUUUUCAAACAGUUGUCUAACACUUAGCAGGUUGCACUUCAUUCUAGUUACAUAUAGUACAUCUUUGAUCAUAUGUUUAACUCCAUUUCUCUAUUGCUCCUUUGAAUAACUAUGUUGCAAGUACCUUGUGCUUGCAAUGAGCUCUUAUCUGCAAGUUUGACCAUGCUCUUCUUCGACUCAUCAAAAUAUUCCAACCACAUUUUCCUACCAGUCAUGUGACUCGAGCAACCUGUGUCGAGGAACCAAAUUUUGGAGUCGACAUGGUCAUUUGCAACUACAGCCAUAACCAUCAUAUCUUCAUAAUCAUCUGAAUCUUGGUGUGUAAGGUUUGCUCCUUCCUAAUUUCCCUUUGUCGCUCCCAUGUCUUUUCUAUACCAACCAUUCUUGGCCAAGUGACCCCAUUUUUCAUAGUUAUAGCAUUGCACACAUUUUUUCUCUUAUUUGUCUUACUGAUGGGAGUUUCCUUCUCCUCUUUUGGAGGAUUUAGAAGCCAUAUCAUCUACCUUAUGCUUUUGAAGGUUCGACCAAGAGUACUUAUGAUUCUUGUCUCCUUUGUAUUUGAACUUGUUGGAACCACCAUGUUUCUAUAAUCUAUGAGCAUGUAGUGCUUGUAUAGAACCUUGAACAUAUUUGCUUUCAACAAUCCUCAUCUCAUGUGGCUCCAAUGAACCAACCAAAUCUUCCAGUUUCAUGGUUUCAAGAUUGUUAGAUUCUUGAAUGGCUACAAUAAUGUGAUCAAAGUGAGAGGUCAAUGUUUGCAUUACCUUCUCAACUAGCAUCUUAUCAGUUAGGGUUUCACCACAACCUUUCAUGAGAUCAAUAAGCUUCAGCACCUUUGAGACAUAGCCUGCAAUCUUUUCUUUUUCUAUGAUUUACAGUAAUUCAUAAUGCCUUCGCAAUGUUUGCAAUUUGACAGAUUUAACCUUCUCACAUCCUUCGUAAUACUUGACAAGAAUAUCUCAUGCCUUCUUUGUCGAUUCAGUAUGAGAUAUCCGAUUAAAGUUUGUCGCGUCUAUAUUAGUUAUGGUAAAGGAGCAAGCAAAAGUAAGUAUUUUGAUUUUUAUCGUCUCCAUAGGGAUUAGUACAAUAUCAAUGUCGUUCAACGGUCUCUAUGAUUUUAUACUUAUGUUUGUAAGAUUUAUUUUAAAGCUAAGCUAUGCAAAAUGAAUGAAUAAAUAAAUAAAUAAAGCUUCAGAGAUAUCUGAGAGCUUUACAUGAUUGAAUUUCAUUCACCAUACGAACAUGUAAUUUACCAACCAGUUAAGCACAAUCUAAACAUUCAUCAAUAUUAUCAUGUAUCACUCACAAUAGGUUUCAUGUCUAAACCUCCGUCGAGAGUUCUAUCGUAUUGUUUAAUCGAUGAUCUCUCAGCAUAUCAAACAAUACGGAGCAUCAAGACUUGAUACUCACAUGGAUGUUAAACCUAAAUCUAUGUCCAGAGUUUAACGUCUAACAAAUGAUUAUCCUAGAUCUAUAUUCGAAGAGUAUUUCUCAAUAACGGUUCAAAUCAAUAGAUAAACAAGUAAACAAGGAUAACAUCGAUAUAGAUUAUACAUAACGUCAUGAUUAAUAAAUAUACAUAAUAUAAAAGUGAACUUACAUACAAUCCCCAAAAUAAAGGUAUUUAAUAAAGGAAUGAAGAUGAACAAACAUCAACCGCAAUUUCCCAAUGAUAGAGGCAAAUCCAACUCCGGAUCUUCAAGAAGCACCCUCACUUGUUAUUUUCUAAGUAUCUAUCUCUCCUAACUAAAAAAUGGUGGUUGAUGGAAAUGGGGUUCAAAGUUCCCAAAAUCAUAACCUAAAAUUCUGAUUUGGACCUAUUCAUACAAAGUCGAGAAUUUCCUAUUUCUCUCGGUGAACUCAUCCUCGCCCGGUGAAAUCACAUUUAAGUGUCUUCCACCUGGCUCAAACGUAGUAAGUUGUAAUUGGUAAAAAUAUAUUCUCUCGCCCGACGACCAAAACCUCGCCUGACGAACUCAAAAUCUCAGAUCCUCACCCGACAACCAAGGAAAGAUUUUCCCAUGGAAUCCAAUUUUCUGGCCUCGCCCAGCGAUCUCGCUUCCUCUUUGCCAAUGCUCGCCCGACAAGCAAGCCAGAACUUCCCAAUUCAGCUUUAUUCCUUCUUCUUAGUUUUUAUCCCUUUAUUAUAUGGUUUCCUACAUACUUAGCACACACAUCAAGGAUAUCAAAUCCAAAUUCAAAAUAUAUAACAUUCUAUAAAAAACUGGGGAAAUGAAUCAUUGAAAUCGCAAAUUAGAGCUGAAAAAUGCCAAGUUUUUAUGUACAAAAAUAGUCAAAAUUUGCAUUUAUCAAACUCUCCCCAACUUAAAACUUCACUACGCCAAAAAUGACUUUUAACAGCGCAUCUUAGACAGCGCUUUUAAAAGAAAGCGCUGUCUAAGGUUAAAAUUAAAAUAAAACACGGAAAAUGUUCCAAAAAAAUAAUGAAAGCGCAUCUAGGGGGGGUCUAGACAGGUUCUAAAGCGCUGUCUAAGACCCCCCCCUUAGACAGCGGCUUUUAGAAAGCCGCUUUUAAAUAUAGACCUUUUAGUCGCGCUUUUGAUUUAAAGCGGCUGUCUAAAGUCUUUUAAUUAAAAAAAAAUUAAAACCAAAAGCGCUGUCUAAGGGGGGGUUUAGAAAGCGCUUUUGGAAAGCGCUGUCUAAGGCAUACCUUAGAAAGCGCUUUCCACAAAAGCGCUGUCUAAGGUCUAAUUAAAAUAAAACCCUAAUUUGUAGAUUCAGAGAGAUAACAAACGAGAAUGGGAGGUUCACGAAGAAAAUACAAGAAUUCUCGACCUAAGGUUCGUGUGGGUCUUCCAAAGAAGAACCCUAAAGAUUUGAAACCCGCUUUCACCAUUCCUCCCAAACUGUUACAAUCCCUUGCGGAAGACCCUAAAUGGGAUGAAAAAGGAAGCGUAACACAAAACUACAACUCCUUCGGUGUCGUCAAUGACCCUAACUCUCUCACUGAUUCUCUUCAAGCUCCUUCUGUUUCCGAUGACCCCAACGAUUUCGGCAGUGAUCUCGAAGAAGACGGUAUAUUCUCCUCAAUUCAUUAUCUUCUCUUGCUUCAACAAUUAGUGUGUUUUUGUGUCAGAAAUUGUUUAUAUUUUGUUGAAAUGAGUGUAAAUUUUGUGAAUAAAAAGAGGAAAGCCCCCCACCUUUAUGAAUUAUAGGCCGGUGGUGAGAACAGGGACAGUUAUCGAACUCGAGCCGGACGACCUAAUAAAGAAAAUUCUCACUCGGGUUGCUUGGUGUAGUUAAAGGAACCCGUGAGAAAAAUCUUAAAGUAAAACCAAAAGCCAAUCCUGCCANNNNNNNNNNNNNNNNNNNNNNNNNNNNNNNNNNNNNNNNNNNNNNNNNNNNNNNNNNNNNNNNNNNNNNNNNNNNNNNNNNNNNNNNNNNNNNNNNNNNNNNNNNNNNNNNNNNNNNNNNNNNNNNNNNNNNNNNNNNNNNNNNNNNNNNNNNNNNNNNNNNNNNNNNNNNNNNNNNNNNNNNNNNNNNNNNNNNNNNNNNNNNNNNNNNNNNNNNNNNNNNNNNNNNNNNNNNNNNNNNNNNNNNNNNNNNNNNNNNNNNNNNNNNNNNNNNNNNNNNNNNNNNNNNNNNNNNNNNNNNNNNNNNNNNNNNNNNNNNNNNNNNNNNNNNNNNNNNNNNNNNNNNNNNNNNNNNNNNNNNNNNNNNNNNNNNNNNNNNNNNNNNNNNNNNNNNNNNNNNNNNNNNNNNNNNNNNNNNNNNNNNNNNNNAAGAAAAGAGGAAACUCAAGUAAUCCUUGGAGAACAGUUAUGACCAAGAAAAUCUCAUAGUUCUGUAGUAAGAACCUUGAAAAAUAAAAUAACAAGCCAUCUGCAAACAGAAGAUUGAUACUCC